RNAcentral lists this ribosomal RNA (422 nucleotides) under uncultured microorganism. RNAcentral describes it as "bacterial SSU rRNA". It matches the Rfam family "Bacterial small subunit ribosomal RNA", at positions 9 to 429 of the family's 1533-position model. The record is from RNAcentral.
GAGUUUGAUCAUGGCUCAGAUUGAACGCUGGCGGCAUGCCUUACACAUGCAAGUCGAACGGCAGCAUGAUCUAGCUUGCUAGAUUGAUGGCGAGUGGCGAACGGGUGAGUAAUACAUCGGAACGUGCCCUGUAGUGGGGGAUAACUAGUCGAAAGAUUAGCUAAUACCGCAUACGACCUGAGGGUGAAAGUGGGGGACCGCAAGGCCUCAUGCUAUAGGAGCGGCCGAUGUCUGAUUAGCUAGUUGGUGGGGUAAAGGCCCACCAAAGCGACGAUCAGUAGCUGGUCUGAGAGGACGAUCAGCCACACUGGGACUGAGACACGGCCCAGACUCCUACGGGAGGCAGCAGUGGGGAAUUUUGGACAAUGGGCGAAAGCCUGAUCCAGCAAUGCCGCGUGUGUGAAGAAGGCCUCGGUUGUAAG